GGGACGUUAGCUCAGUUGGUAGAGCACAGUGUUCACAUCGCUGGGGUCGCUGGUUCGAGUCCAGCACGUCCCACCA
Molecule: transfer RNA, 76 nt
Filed under: Paracoccaceae bacterium
Lineage: Bacteria; Pseudomonadati; Pseudomonadota; Alphaproteobacteria; Rhodobacterales; Paracoccaceae
Description: tRNA-Val
Rfam family: tRNA
About the family: Transfer RNA (tRNA) molecules are approximately 80 nucleotides in length. Their secondary structure includes four short double-helical elements and three loops (D, anti-codon, and T loops).
Source: RNAcentral